UAACCUGCUAAAUAGACCAGCCGGCUUUGGCUAGCUGCUGUCUUCUUAGAGGGACUAUCAGCGUUUAGCUGAUGGAAGUUUGAGGCAAUAACAGGUCUGUGAUGCCCUUAGAUGUUCUGGGCCGCACGCGCGCUACACUGACAGAGCCAGCGAGUUUUUUUCCUUGGCCGGAAGGCCUGGGUAAUCUUGUGAAACUCUGUCGUGAUGGGGAUAGAACAUUGCAAUUAUUGUUCUUCAACGAGGAAUACCUAGUAAGCGUGAGUCAUCAGCUCGCGUUGAUUACGUCCCUGCCCUUUGUACACACCGCCCGUCGCUAC
RNAcentral lists this ribosomal RNA (317 nucleotides) under Dichomitus squalens LYAD-421 SS1. RNAcentral's name for it is "SSU rRNA". It matches the Rfam family "Eukaryotic small subunit ribosomal RNA", at positions 1344 to 1682 of the family's 1831-position model. The record is from RNAcentral. Lineage: Eukaryota; Fungi; Basidiomycota; Agaricomycetes; Polyporales; Polyporaceae.